GGAGUCGUGGCCGAGUGGCUGAAGGCAGCGGUUUGCUAAACCGUUAGGGGACAAAAAUCCCCUCGAGGGUUCGAAUCCCUCCGACUCCG
Molecule: transfer RNA, 89 nt
Filed under: Methylacidiphilum infernorum V4
Lineage: Bacteria; Pseudomonadati; Verrucomicrobiota; Methylacidiphilae; Methylacidiphilales; Methylacidiphilaceae
Also listed under: 3 other names
Description: tRNA-Ser (GCT) (tRNA-Ser-GCT-1-1)
Rfam family: tRNA
About the family: Transfer RNA (tRNA) molecules are approximately 80 nucleotides in length. Their secondary structure includes four short double-helical elements and three loops (D, anti-codon, and T loops).
Source: RNAcentral